This 866-nucleotide ribosomal RNA is filed under the name uncultured bacterium. RNAcentral describes it as "bacterial SSU rRNA". It matches the Rfam family "Bacterial small subunit ribosomal RNA", at positions 28 to 922 of the family's 1533-position model. The record is from RNAcentral.
GAUAAACGCUGGCGGCGUGCCUAAUGCAUGCAAGCCGAACGGCCCGAUUUAUCGGGCAGUGGCGAACGGGUGAGUAACACGUAAGAACCAACCCUCAAGUGGGGGAUAACCCCGAGAAAUCGGGGCUAAUACCGCAUAAGCUCCCCGAUUAUAUCGGGGAGGAAAGCUGAGGCGCUUGAGGGACGGGCCUUGCCGUUCCGAUUAGCUAGUUGGUGUGGUAAUGGCUCACCAAGGCUGAGAUCGGUAGCUGGUCUGAGAGGAUGAUCAGCCACACUGGGACUGAGAUACGGCCCAGACUCCUACGGGAGGCAGCAGCAGGGGAUAUUGCGCAAUGGGUGAAAGCCUGACGCAGCAACGCCGCGUGGGGGAAGAAGGUUUUCGGAUCGUAAACCCCUUUUCUCGGGGAAGAUGGUGACGGUACCCGAGGAAUAAGUCUCGGCUAACUACGUGCCAGCAGCCGCGGUAAGACGUAGGAGGCGAGCGUUAUCCGGAAUUAUUGGGCGUAAAGGGCGUGUAGGCGGCUCUUCAAGUCUUUGGUGAAAUCUCCCGGCUCAACUGGGAGGGUGUCAGAGAAACUGGAGGGCUUGAGGGCAGUAGAGGGGGGUGGAAUUCCCGGUGUAGUGGUGAUAUGCGUAGAUAUCGGGAGGAACACCAGUGGCGAAGGCGGCCCCCUGGGCUGUUCCUGACGCUGAGGCGCGAAAGCGUGGGGAGCAAACAGGAUUAGAUACCCUGGUAGUCCACGCCGCAAACGAUGGACACUAGGUAUGGGGGGUAUCGACCCCCUCCGUGCCGAAGCUUACGCUUUAAGUGUCCCGCCUGGGGAGUACGGCCGCAAGGCUAAAACUCAAAGGAAUUGACGGGGGCCC